GGGGAAGUUCAGGUUUCGACAUGUAUAACUAGGCAUGACUGCAAGUGGUCGGCAUACCUUAAGUGCACAAUUAAAAUUAAAUGACGAAGCUAAUUAUAGUUUCGCUCCUGCUUUUGCCUAAUAGAGGUUAAGGGAGCACUUCUAUUCAAUUUUUCUUAUAGGUUGAAUUAGGGGUUAAUAAAUAUAAGAUAUAAUGCAUUUUUUGUUUAGGAUUAUGUAUUGAAUUUUACUAAACUUACUUGUAAAUAGGUUAGUGUAGAGCCAUUUUUACAAGAACAUUUAAAUCUACCUAAACUUGUAGACGUUGUGAUAUAGAGUAUAUUGGACAGGAGUUCGAUUCUCCUCUUCUCCACCA
Molecule: non-coding RNA, 355 nt
Organism: Clostridium sp. CAG:609
Lineage: Bacteria; Bacillati; Bacillota; Clostridia; Eubacteriales; Clostridiaceae
Source: Rfam